UACAGAGGUCCCGAGCGUUGUCCGGAUUCACUGGGCGUAAAGGGUGCGUAGGUGGCAUGGUAAGUUUGAUGUGAAAGCUCAAGGCUCAACCCUGAAAUGCCAUUGAAUACUACUGUGCUGGAGGUUUGGAGGGGGGACUGGAAUUCUUGGUGUAGCAGUGAAAUGCGUAGAUAUCAAGAGGAACACCAGUGGCGAAGGCGAGUCCCUGGACAACACCUGACACUGAGGCACGAAAGCCGGGGGAGCAAACAGG
RNAcentral lists this ribosomal RNA (253 nucleotides) under uncultured bacterium. RNAcentral's name for it is "partial 16S ribosomal RNA". It matches the Rfam family "Bacterial small subunit ribosomal RNA", at positions 524 to 776 of the family's 1533-position model. The record is from RNAcentral.